RNAcentral lists this microRNA precursor (66 nucleotides) under Schmidtea mediterranea. RNAcentral's name for it is "Sme-Mir-210-P17_pre stem-loop". The record is from RNAcentral. Lineage: Eukaryota; Metazoa; Platyhelminthes; Tricladida; Dugesiidae.
UAUCUUUUUUAUUACGUACAAAAUGCUUGCUUAGGUUGACAUUUUGUGCGUAGUAAUAGAGGUAUC